ACGAUGAGAAGAUAAAAAAAAAUAUAUGUGUGUGUGUGUGUAUAUGUAUAUAUAUAUAUUAAGAAAUAUUUUGGAGAAUAGCAGACUGCUGCUGCUGUCUGGAAACUCGCGGCUCUUGUUUAAUUGUUAUACGAAAAUUAUCGAUCGCGUUUCGAAACAUUUUGUUUCUAUUCACGUCCGCUUUCCUCAAGUCACGAAUAACCAUCUACAGUACCAAUCGUCUGUAAUACAACGUUGGAUAUCGAUUUUUUCUUUCCCUGUUGACGUUCGAGAAUUUGUGCAUUUAUAUCGAGCGACAUUCGUAUCGCAUUAAAACUGAAGCUUUUGAUCGUGUUGUGUUCUGUUGGCAGUCGCUACCUUUUAGUCGUUAGAUCCUGUUGAAUGGGCCACUGUCACUACAAUAGGGGGUAGUAGGGUGGAUGGGCCGCCAAUAACCUGUCAGGAACUAGCAGAUCGAUAUACAGAUGUUCCGUCAGCCAGCAGACAGUUGUUUCUCCUUUCGUCGCCUCCUCUUAACCAGAAGGAGAAGCAAAAGGGAAUUUAAAGAUCUUCGAUGCUCCAUCGAAUAAAAAUCUCGUAUCUCAAUCGUUGCAUUUAAAAGCACCACUUCAACGUUUGGUAGUUUUGUUCCACGGUGCAUGACAAUUCGUUUUACCGAAUAAAAAUAAUCUUGUACUGUAUAUUGUUUUCUUUUCUUUUUUUUUCUUUUUUUUUUAACAGAACAAAACUUGCGUGGAUGUGGGUCGCGGUCAAGUGAGCGUGUUGGAUUAAGCGGAGAGGAUCUAUCAGGAAAACUAGUCUGUAAGAAGGUAUCGGUGAUUUCCUGCGGUGGAGAAAGCUGUUAUCUCGAGAACGCUUGGCUGCUUAGCGAUCCACCUCAACAGACAUUUUCCCAUAUACCUAGGCGAACGUGAGACUUAAAUAAGAAAUCUUAAAGACCCCCCUGCUAAGUUUAUCAGUCUUCUCUCACUGCCUGUUUGCAGAAUGGAAGAAAUAAUGAAAGAAAACUCACCGGGUCCGUAAGUAACGUUUAAUCUAGAAUAACGGCGUAUAACAAGAAAAAAAAGUGUAUAUAUAUAUCAGGUGAGGUAGUGGAAGUGUUUGUUUUUAACCUAUAUGGGGGUGAGGAAACAUUUCGGGUUUAAUAAACGCCCGGAAUAUAUUAAAAAUUCGGGACACGACUCUCUCUCCUCCGCUUUAUCCCGAAACAUCGUGGUGGUAUUAACCAGGUGUCCCAGAAAGUAGCAGUUUUUCUCAACAAUUAACUUUGCGCGUGCUUUCUUUGCCUUGCCAUCCCCCGGUUUUCUUCCAACCCCCUUGUCACGGUUCGAUGAUUGUUACUCCCGUACUGUUUGCGGUAGCGACCCCAAUAACGUUCGUUUGGUUCUCCUGUUUGUUUUGGCAUUGUUGCCGAUGUAUCGCAAUUACAGGAGUGGUUGAAGACAAGCUUAAUCUGUCGAUAAAUACACCAUUUGGGAAUUUGUUUCUUGGAUUGCAAGUUUUCUUUAGAUCGUGCUUUCGUUAUUAUUAUGUUCGUUUAUUGUUAUUGAUACACGCUAGGAGGUUAUUUUAAUGGAAAACAAGCAAUAGUUCAAUAUACGACAGUUCAGUUAACGUAAAGACAGUUCAACUUGCUACCAGUCUGCGACACUUAAACGUAAAAUUUUUCGAGAUAUUUAAUGGUUUCUCAACUCAUAAAUAUGAGUAAAGUUGUUUCGACGUGCUUCUUCUUAACACUAAUCAUAGAUAGCCAUAAAGGUGUUUUCUAACAACUAGUUUGCAGCACUUUAAAUAUGGUAUGUUCGUAGUAGUCAAUAUCUAAAUAUAAGUCAAGAUGUUAAGACAUGUUGCUAAUUCUUAACACAUAAACAUAGAUAAUAUAAUUCAUAAUGCCUAAAUAUAUGUAAAGUUCCUUCGACAUCUUCAAGUUCUCAAUAGUGAAGAUCUUUAGACAUACUUCUAGUUCUCAACACCUAGCAUAGGUAACUCAUAGUUCAUAAAAUCUAAACAUAGGUAAAAAUCUUUCAACAUGCUGCUAGUUCUCAAUACUUAAACAUAAAUAACGUAAUUCCUAACAUUUAAACAUAACUAAAGGUGCUUGUCAUGGUGCUACUUCUAAACACCUAAUCAUAGAUAUUAUAAAGAUUUUCGAUGUGAAUUUGUUACUUGCUCACAGUAUUUAAACAUAGGUAACAUAACUCUCAACACUUAAAAGUAUUUAACGUUAUUCUCAAUACCUAAACGUAAGUAAAACUGUACUGGUUCUCAACGCCUAAACAUAGCUCUUUGACAUCCUUCAAUUAUCUUCUUUAUCAGUGAUGGCAAUAGGCUACUUUGAUACGAAAUAUAACGUCCCACUUCGAAUUCGAAUCUGCUUGCAGUUCGUAAUUUUAUAAAAGUUUCUUCAGCUUUUUCCACCUAAGUAAACCACUCGGAAUGCAUCUGUGAGGUAUAUAUAUCUCUCAUCCGUUAUUUAGCUCCGUUCCUAAUUUGUUUACAGCAGAAAAAAACUGUUUAGUAAUAUUCAAAUGUUCUCUCUUUGUUUUCGCAUCCCAUAUUCUGAUAAAUGCGUAUCUUAUAAUAGAAGAAUUAUUAUUAUUGUGAUAGAGAAGUAUUGAGUAAUUGGCUGAAGAGCAGUUAAAAAAAAGAUUAAAAAAAGAAAAAAAAAAGGUUUUGGAGAAUAAUUCGAUUAAACGAAUUGUCGAAGAGCAGUUAUGUUCUGUGAAAUGGCAAGGAUUUACAGAAUUUUCUGCUAACAACACAGAUAAUGAAGCCGAAACUUCCUCUUUCAGUAUUUUUACAAAAGCUAUUUUGCUUGUUAUUGAAGAUUUUUUUUUUUUACUUCCUUCUCCUCCUCCACCUCCUCUUCUUCUUCUUCUUUAUCCCAUUUCGCUGUUUUCCAAUUAAUUUCGUUAGCUAAUGCCAAUUUUAGGUAUUGGUAAAAUAAAUAAAUUUUUACUAUCGACGAAUGACAAAUUUGUUUGACAUUCCCUAAUGCAAAAGUGAGAAGAAGAAGGAGGAGGAGGAGGAGGAAGGAAAAAAAAAUAUAUAUUAUAAUAAUAAUAAAAGUGUGCAUUGAUGAAAAUUAAUUUAUUGAUCUGGCAAUUGCUGUUUUUAAGAUAAUUUCGAGGUCAUACUAUCAUUAAUCUUUCAUGGGAGUGUUUUAUGUUUAAAU
This 3175-nucleotide long non-coding RNA is filed under the name Androctonus crassicauda. Lineage: Eukaryota; Metazoa; Arthropoda; Arachnida; Scorpiones; Buthidae. The record is from RNAcentral.